Molecule: ribosomal RNA, 253 nt
Filed under: uncultured bacterium
Lineage: Bacteria
Description: partial 16S ribosomal RNA
Rfam family: Bacterial small subunit ribosomal RNA
Source: RNAcentral
UACGAAGGGGGCUAGCGUUGCUCGGAAUCACUGGGCGUAAAGCGCACGUAGGCGGCUUCUUAAGUCAGGGGUGAAAUCCUGGAGCUCAACUCCAGAACUGCCUUUGAUACUGAGAAGCUUGAGUCCGGGAGAGGUGAGUGGAACUGCGAGUGUAGAGGUGAAAUUCGUAGAUAUUGGGAGGAACACCGGUGGCGAAGGCGGCUCCCUGGUCCGAUACUGACGCUCAUGUGCGAAAGCGUGGGGAGCAAACAGG